Non-coding RNA from Macaca mulatta (Rhesus monkey), 2420 nucleotides. Lineage: Eukaryota; Metazoa; Chordata; Mammalia; Primates; Cercopithecidae. The record is from RefSeq and is a predicted model, not a curated record.
GGAGGAACUAGGGAGGCUUCCAUAAGAUUUUGAUUAACAGCCAGCGCUAGGGAAGGUCACAGGGAUACAAAAGGGUAGGAGGAGGAUCCAGAGACCUCCAAGUUGUGGACUUCGAAGGCAUCCGGUUCCUUUCCCAGCUUUGUCAAGAAUUCCCUGGGCGGCGGACACCCUCAAAAUAAAAAAAACGGGAACCACAGGGAAGGGGAAAAAGAAGAACCACAAGCGUUUUGAGAAACAAACAGAGGCUGGGCCUAGGGCCUGGGGUGUGCCCUGCAACUGGGGGGGGUGGGGCUGGAUGUUCUUGGAGUCAGGGAGCAGCAGCCUCCCACAGGAUGUGAGAGAGGAACUGGGGUCUCCAGUCACGGGAGCCAGGAGCCGGCCAGGGCCGCAGGCAGGAAGGGAGCGAGGCUGAAGGGAACGUCGUCCUCUCAGCAUGAGGGUCCCGCGGCCUCAGCCCUGGGCGCUGGGGCUCCUGCUCUUUCUCCUGCCCGGGAGCCUGGGCGCAGAAAGCCACCUCUCCCUCCUGUACCACCUCACCGCGGUGUCCUCGCCUGCCCCGGGGACGCCUGCCUUCUGGGUGUCCGGCUGGCUGGGCCCGCAGCAGUACCUGAGCUACGACAGCCUGAGGGGCCAGGCGGAGCCCUGUGGAGCUUGGGUCUGGGAAAACCAAGUGUCCUGGUAUUGGGAGAAAGAGACCACAGAUCUGAGGAUCAAGGAGAAGCUCUUUCUGGAAGCUUUCAAAGCUUUGGGGGGAAAAGGCCCCUACACUCUGCAGGGCCUGCUGGGCUGUGAACUGAGCCCUGACAACACCUCGGUGCCCACCGCCAAGUUCGCCCUGAACGGCGAGGAGUUCAUGAAUUUCGACCUCAAGCAGGGCACCUGGGGUGGGGACUGGCCCGAGGCCCUGGCUAUCAGUCAGCGGUGGCAGCAGCAGGACAAGGCGGCCAACAAGGAGCUCACCUUCCUGCUAUUCUCCUGCCCACACCGGCUGCGGGAGCACCUGGAGAGGGGCCGUGGAAACCUGGAGUGGAAGGAGCCCCCCUCCAUGCGCCUGAAGGCCCGACCCGGCAACCCUGGCUUUUCCGUGCUUACCUGCAGCGCCUUCUCCUUCUACCCUCCGGAACUGCAACUGCGGUUCCUGCGGAAUGGGAUGGCCGCUGGCACCGGACAGGGCGACUUCGGCCCCAACAGUGACGGCUCCUUCCACGCCUCGUCGUCACUAACAGUCAAAAGUGGCGAUGAGCACCACUACUGCUGCAUCGUGCAGCACGCGGGGCUGGCGCAGCCCCUCAGGGUGGAGCUGGGUGAGGCCCCGCCCGGUGGUGAUGCUCCUGGUUUCCCGUUGCCUUGUCUCACUGCUGUGCCGGUCCUUCCUGAGUCUGACCUUCCUCCCCGCUGCUGCCAUCUCCUUGAAUCUGACUGCCUUGUGCCUCGCGCCUUUCAGUGCCCCCAAAGCCUGAUGCCUUGUCCUUCCCAAGGCCGACUGCCUUCCGUCCUGCUGCUUCUGGCCUCACUGAGUCUGAAGAGCUGUUAACCACCAUGGCCAGUCCUCCCUGAGUCUGACCGUCUUCCAUCCUGCUGCUGCUGCAGCUGCAGGUCUUCCUGGAAUCUGACCAUUCGUUGUCUGCUAUGCCCGUCCUCACCAAGACUGACCACUUGCUGCCUUGCUACUGCCGGGGCCCAUGAGGCUGACUUCCCACUGCUCUGCCUGCCUCUCCCCGCUGCGCCGGGACAGCCCCACCCUGCCGCUGCUGGUCCAUUGCCAGUGUGACCACGGCGGCCGCUCGUGCUGUGGCUGGUUCUUACAUCCAGCCUGGGGGCACCCUGCCGAGAUCGCCCGCCUGGCCUUGCCUCUGUCCAUCAGACACUUGGUGCUGGGAUCUCCGAGGCUGGGAGGGACUGGGACCCCCCCAGUGCUGUGUCCUGACUGGGUGGGGGUGGACGGGCUGCUCCACAUCUCACAGCGUUCUCUGGCUGCAGAAACUCCAGCCAAGUCCUCGGUGCUCGUGGUGGGAAUCGUCAUCGGUGUCUUGCUACUCACGGCAGCGGCUGUAGGAGGAGCUCUGUUGUGGAGAAGGAUGAGGAGUGGGCUGCCAGCCCCUUGGAUCUCCUCCGUGGAGAUGACACCGGGUCCCUCCUGCCCACCCCGGGGGAGGCCCAGGAUGCUGAUUCGAAGGAUAUAAAUGUGAUCCCAGCCACUGCCUGACCAUCUGCCAUUCCGACUGCUAAAAGCGAAUGUAGUCAGGCCCCUUUCAUGCUGUGAGACCUCCUGGAACACUGGCAUCUCUGAGCCUCCAGAAGGGGUCCUGGGCCCUGUUGUCCUCCCUCUGGAGCCCCGUCCUGUGGUCUGCCUCAGUUUCCCCUCCUAAUACAUAUGGCUCUUUUCCACCUCGAUAAUAUAACACGAGUUUGGGCCCGAA